UACGAUUGUUGUUGUUAAAAAAAAAAAAAAGAGAGAGAGAAGAAUAGAUUUUUAUCAUAUCUCAAUUUAAAACAGGAAACCUAGCCCUUCCCUCAGCCUUAUGGCCGCGGUACGGCGAUUGUAAGCAGGCAGCAUCCAAUGGAAUGGAAUAAAGAGCAUAUGGAGAUAUAUUCCAUGAAUCACAGCCGGGAUUUUAUCUUGAUAAAAACU
Molecule: long non-coding RNA, 210 nt
Organism: Microplitis mediator
Lineage: Eukaryota; Metazoa; Arthropoda; Insecta; Hymenoptera; Braconidae
Exons: 3
Source: RefSeq, a predicted model, not a curated record